Long non-coding RNA from Mauremys reevesii (Reeves's turtle), 332 nucleotides. RefSeq lists it as uncharacterized. The transcript has 2 exons. The record is from RefSeq and is a predicted model, not a curated record. NCBI's taxonomy places the organism in Eukaryota, Metazoa, Chordata, Testudines, Geoemydidae.
GUGAAUUCAUAUCAGAAAGUCUGGGUUAUUAUACACUGUGAGUUAUAAGUGAAAUUCCUACAAAGGAGGAGGCGUGGGAAAGGCACACCAAAGUUUCCAAGCUGUGGCCUGAGAUGAAGUGAGCAGACUGAAUGCAGGAUUCGUGAUAAAGGAAAGAAAGACAUUUCUGUGAAAUAGCGAUGUACUCUACAUGCGUUCUGCUACUGAUUUCAUUGAGGGUUCAUCCAGAGAACACUUCUGGCUUCUCCACUGGUCAGUUCUCAGCUCAGCAUCGAUAUUAAACUAUACUUGUAGAUUGUCAUGGAAAUAAAUAUUGCAUUGUGUGAACAUGA